This 81-nucleotide microRNA precursor is filed under the name Bombyx mori (domestic silkworm). RNAcentral describes it as "mir-2807 microRNA precursor family". It matches the Rfam family "mir-2807 microRNA precursor family". Lineage: Eukaryota; Metazoa; Arthropoda; Insecta; Lepidoptera; Bombycidae. The record is from Rfam by way of RNAcentral.
UUAACUCAAAUUUGUAUGAAUUUGGGACGUUUGCUUACAUUUGCAAGGCACGCCGUUCGAACUGCAUACAAAUUUGAGUUA